GAUGAACGCUGGCGGCGUGCCUAAUACAUGCAAGUCGAGCGAACAGACGAGGAGCUUGCUCCUCUGACGUUAGCGGCGGACGGGUGAGUAACACGUGGAUAACCUACCUAUAAGACUGGGAUAACUUCGGGAAACCGGAGCUCAUACCGGAUAAUAUAUUGAACCGCAUGGUUCAAUAGUGAAAGACGGUUUUGCUGUCACUUAUAGAUGGAUCCGCGCCGCAUUAGCUAGUUGGUAAGGUAACGGCUUACCAAGGCAACGAUGCGUAGCCGACCUGAGAGGGUGAUCGGCCACACUGGAACUGAGACACGGUCCAGACUCCUACGGGAGGCAGCAGUAGGGAAUCUUCCGCAAUGGGCGAAAGCCUGACGGAGCAACGCCGCGUGAGUGAUGAAGGUCUUCGGAUCGUAAAACUCUGUUAUUAGGGAAGAACAAAUGUGUAAGUAACUAUGCACGUCUUGACGGUACCUAAUCAGAAAGCCACGGCUAACUACGUG
RNAcentral lists this ribosomal RNA (497 nucleotides) under uncultured bacterium. RNAcentral's name for it is "partial 16S ribosomal RNA". It matches the Rfam family "Bacterial small subunit ribosomal RNA", at positions 28 to 507 of the family's 1533-position model. The record is from RNAcentral.